UGGUGGAGUGAUUUGUCUGGUUAAUUCCGUUAACGAACGAGACCUCAGCCUGCUAAAUAGUCUAACAAAGGUACGCCUUUGGUUGUCGGACUUCUUAGAGGGACAAUCGGUUUCUAAUCGAAGGAAGUUUGAGGCAAUAACA
RNAcentral lists this ribosomal RNA (142 nucleotides) under uncultured eukaryote. RNAcentral describes it as "partial 18S ribosomal RNA". It matches the Rfam family "Eukaryotic small subunit ribosomal RNA", at positions 1299 to 1458 of the family's 1831-position model. The record is from RNAcentral.